AUUGAACGCUGGCGGCAUGCCUUACACAUGCAAGUCGAACGGCAGCACGGGAGCAAUCCUGGUGGCGAGUGGCGAACGGGUGAGUAAUAUAUCGGAACGUGCCCAGUCGUGGGGAUAACGUAGCGAAAGCUACGCUAAUACCGCAUACGAUCUAUGGAUGAAAGCGGGGGAUCGCAAGACCUCGCGCGAUUGGAGCGGCCGAUAUCAGAUUAGGUAGUUGGUGAGGUAAAGGCUCACCAAGCCGACGAUCUGUAGCUGGUCUGAGAGGACGACCAGCCACACUGGGACUGAGACACGGCCCAGACUCCUACGGGAGGCAGCAGUGGGGGAAUUUUGGACAAUGGGCGCAAGCCUGAUCCAGCAAUGCCGCGUGCAGGAUGAAGGCCUUCGGG
RNAcentral lists this ribosomal RNA (392 nucleotides) under uncultured bacterium. RNAcentral's name for it is "bacterial SSU rRNA". It matches the Rfam family "Bacterial small subunit ribosomal RNA", at positions 30 to 422 of the family's 1533-position model. The record is from RNAcentral.